GAUGAACGCUGGCGGCGUGCCUAAUACAUGCAAGUCGAGCGAACGGACGAGAAGCUUGCUUUUCUGAUGUUAGCGGCGGACGGGUGAGUAACACGUGGAUAACCUACCUAUAAGACUGGGAUAACUUCGGGAAACCGGAGCUAAUACCGGAUAAUAUUUUGAACCGCAUGGUUCAAAAGUGAAAGACGGUCUUGCUGUCACUUAUAGAUGGAUCCGCGCUGCAUUAGCUAGUUGGUAAGGUAACGGCUUACCAAGGCAACGAUGCAUAGCCGACCUGAGAGGGUGUUCGGCCACACUGGAACUGAGACACGGUCCAGACUCCUACGGGAGGCAGCAGUAGGGAAUCUUCCGCAAUGGGCGAAAGCCUGACGGAGCAACGCCGCGUGAGUGAUGAAGGUCUUCGGAUCGUAAAACUCUGUUAUUAGGGAAGAACAUAUGUGUAAGUAACUGUGCACAUCUUGACGGUACCUAAUCAGAAAGCCACGGCUAACUACGUG
Molecule: ribosomal RNA, 497 nt
Filed under: uncultured bacterium
Lineage: Bacteria
Description: partial 16S ribosomal RNA
Rfam family: Bacterial small subunit ribosomal RNA
Source: RNAcentral